GAUGAACGCUGACAGAAUGCUUAACACAUGCAAGUCGAUGGGGAAGUGGUGCUUGCCCCAUGGCAACCAUGGCGGACGGGUGAGUAACGCGUAAGGGACUUACCUGCAGGACUGGGAUAACAGGGGGAAACUCCUGACAAGACCGGAUAAUGUCAUGGAGCUGCAUGGCUUUAUGAUGAAAGGAGACGCCUGCGGAGAGCCUUGCGUCCUAUUAGCUAGUUGGUGAGGUAAUGGCUCACCAAGGCGAAGAUAGGUAGCCGGCCUGAGAGGGUGGACGGCCACAAGGGGACUGAGAUGCGGCCCUUACUCCUACGGGAGGCAGCAGUGGGGAAUAUUGGACAAUGGGGGCAACCCUGAUCCAGCAAUUCUGUGUGCACGAAGAAGGUUUUCGGAUUGUAAAGUGCUUUCAGCAGGGAAGAAGUAAGUGACGGUACCUGCAGAAGAAGCGACGGCUAAAUACGUG
This 463-nucleotide ribosomal RNA is filed under the name uncultured bacterium. RNAcentral's name for it is "partial 16S ribosomal RNA". It matches the Rfam family "Bacterial small subunit ribosomal RNA", at positions 28 to 507 of the family's 1533-position model. The record is from RNAcentral.